RNAcentral lists this ribosomal RNA (434 nucleotides) under uncultured Oribacterium sp. Its description in RNAcentral is "partial 16S ribosomal RNA". It matches the Rfam family "Bacterial small subunit ribosomal RNA", at positions 341 to 792 of the family's 1533-position model. Lineage: Bacteria; Bacillati; Bacillota; Clostridia; Lachnospirales; Lachnospiraceae. The record is from RNAcentral.
ACGGGAGGCAGCAGUGGGGAAUAUUGCACAAUGGGCGAAAGCCUGAUGCAGCGACGCCGCGUGAGUGAAGAAGUAUCUCGGUAUGUAAAGCUCUAUCAGCAGGGAAGAAAAUGAAGGUACCCAAGUAAGAAGCCCCGGCUAACUACGUGCCAGCAGCCGCGGUAAUACGUAGGGGGCAAGCGUUAUCCGGAUUUACUGGGUGUAAAGGGAGCGUAGACGGAAUGGCAAGUUUGAAGUGAAAACCCUGGGCUUAACCCAGGACUUGCUUUGAAAACUGUUAAUCUAGAGUACUGGAGGGGUAUGGGGAAUUUCUAGUGUAGUAGUAAAAUGCGUAGAGAUUAGGAAGAACACCGGAGGCGAAGGCGCCAUACUGGACAGAUACUGACGUUGAGGCUCGAAAGCGUGGGGAGCAAACAGGAUUAGAUACCCUGGUA